Brassica rapa (field mustard) is the source of this 554-nucleotide long non-coding RNA. RefSeq lists it as uncharacterized. The record is from RefSeq and is a predicted model, not a curated record. Lineage: Eukaryota; Viridiplantae; Streptophyta; Magnoliopsida; Brassicales; Brassicaceae.
GUGUAAUGUGUUUUAAGAAACCUUAUCUUUGUUCUAUCUACUUCCUCUUAAGUGCUAUCAACGCUCUCGAGAGUUAAUUGUUAUUACCGUGUGUUGUGCAGAUCAUUACAAUCAUCCAAGCAGCAGCUGGUGCUGGCCGUACAAUGCUGAUAAGUGAUAGUGGAAACGUUUACUCGUGUGGGAAAGAUUCGUUCGGUGAAGCUGAAUACGGAGGGCAAGGGUCUAAUGUUCCUGGUCUUGUUGUCUAGUUCGUAUGUCAGGAUCACUCACUCUAUCUUCAAAGAACGUCAAGAAUGGCUCGGGAAAGGUGUGUGUGUGUGUUGGAGUGUGUGUUGGAGUGUCACGAGAUAUGUGUGUCUGUUGUAGUUGUUGUCUUGUGGCACAAACAGUUUAUAAAUCACAAGAGAAGUGUUGUUGUUGUUGUCUUGUGUCGCGGGUGAUUUAUAAAUCACAAGAGAAGUUGUAGUUGUUCUCUUGUGUCACAGACACUUUAUAAAUCACAAACACACUUGAUUCUCUUUAUAAAUCACAAUCAAUUCUUCUCCUUCUCUUCA